RNAcentral lists this ribosomal RNA (325 nucleotides) under uncultured bacterium. Its description in RNAcentral is "bacterial SSU rRNA". It matches the Rfam family "Bacterial small subunit ribosomal RNA", at positions 28 to 355 of the family's 1533-position model. The record is from RNAcentral.
GACGAACGCUGGCGGCGUGCUUAACACAUGCAAGUCGAACGAUGAAGCCCUUUCGGGGGUGGAUUAGUGGCGAACGGGUGAGUAACACGUGGGUAACCUGCCCUGUACCCUGGGAUAAGCCUUGGAAACGAGGUCUAAUACCGGAUAUGACCUGCUCUCGCAUGGGGGUGGGUGGAAAGUUUUGGCGGUGCAGGAUGGACCCGCGGCCUAUUAGCUUGUUGGUGGGGUGAUGGCCUACCAAGGCGACGACGGGUAGCCGGCCUGAGAGGGCGACCGGCCACACUGGGACUGAGACACGGCCCAGACUCCUACGGGAGGCAGCAGU